Molecule: ribosomal RNA, 305 nt
Filed under: uncultured bacterium
Lineage: Bacteria
Description: bacterial SSU rRNA
Rfam family: Bacterial small subunit ribosomal RNA
Source: RNAcentral
GUCGAUGGAAAAAAAGCGGCCGAUGCCGGAUUAGCUAGUUGGUGAGGUAAAGGCUCACCAAGGCGACGAUCCCGUAGCUGGUCUGAGAGGACGACCAGCCACACUGGGACUGAGACACGGCCCAGACUCCUACGGGAGGCAGCAGUGGGGAAUCUUGGACAAUGGGCGAAAGCCUGAUCCAGCAAUGCCGCGUGUGGGAAGAAGGCCUUCGGGUUGUAAACCACUUUUGGCGGGAAAGAAAUGGUCUGUGCUAAUACCACGGAUUGAUGACGGUACCCGCAGAAUAAGCACCGGCUAACUACGUG